AUGAACGCUGGCGGCGUGCCUAAUACCUGCAAGUCGCGCGAACAGACGAGGAGCUUGCUCCUCUGACGUUAGCGGCGGACGGGUGAGUAACACGUGGAUAACCUACCUAUAAGACUGGGAUAACUUCGGGAAACCGGAGCUAAUACCGGAUAAUAUAUUGAACCGCAUGGUUCAAUGGUGAAAGACGGUUUUGCUGUCACUUAUAGAUGGAUCCGCGCCGCAUUAGCUAGUUGGUAAGGUAACGGCUUACCAAGGCAACGAUGCGUAGCCGACCUGAGAGGGUGAUCGGCCACACUGGAACUGAGACACGGUCCAGACUCCUACGGGAGGCAGCAGUAGGGAAUCUUCCGCAAUGGGCGAAAGCCUGACGGAGCAACGCCGCGUGAGUGAUGAAGGUCUUCGGAUCGUAAAACUCUGUUAUUAGGGAAGAACAAAUGUGUAAGUAACUAUGCACGUCUUGACGGUACCUAAUCAGAAAGCCACGGCUAACUACGUG
This 496-nucleotide ribosomal RNA is filed under the name uncultured bacterium. RNAcentral's name for it is "partial 16S ribosomal RNA". It matches the Rfam family "Bacterial small subunit ribosomal RNA", at positions 29 to 507 of the family's 1533-position model. The record is from RNAcentral.